RNAcentral lists this ribosomal RNA (662 nucleotides) under uncultured Pedobacter sp. RNAcentral describes it as "bacterial SSU rRNA". It matches the Rfam family "Bacterial small subunit ribosomal RNA", at positions 51 to 710 of the family's 1533-position model. Lineage: Bacteria; Pseudomonadati; Bacteroidota; Sphingobacteriia; Sphingobacteriales; Sphingobacteriaceae. The record is from RNAcentral.
AUACAUGCAAGUCGAACGAUACUAUCCAGCUUGCUGGAUAGGAAAGUGGCGCACGGGUGCGUAACGCGUAUGCAACCUACCUUAAUCAGGGGGAUAGCCCGAAGAAAUUCGGAUUAACACCGCAUAAAAACACAGGGUAGCAUUACCUAAUGUUCAAAUAUUUAUAGGAUUAAGAUGGGCAUGCGUGUCAUUAGCUAGUUGGCGGGGUAACGGCCCACCAAGGCGACGAUGACUAGGGGAUCUGAGAGGAUGACCCCCCACACUGGUACUGAGACACGGACCAGACUCCUACGGGAGGCAGCAGUAAGGAAUAUUGGUCAAUGGAGGCAACUCUGAACCAGCCAUGCCGCGUGCAGGAAGACAGCCCUCUGGGUCGUAAACUGCUUUUAUUCGGGAAUAAACCACCAUACGUGUAUGGUGCUGAAUGUACCGAAGGAAUAAGGAUCGGCUAACUCCGUGCCAGCAGCCGCGGUAAUACGGAGGAUCCAAGCGUUAUCCGGAUUUAUUGGGUUUAAAGGGUGCGUAGGCGGCUUAUUAAGUCAGGGGUGAAAGACGGUGGCUCAACCAUCGCAGUGCCCUUGAUACUGAUGAGCUUGAAUGAACUAGAGGUAGGCGGAAUGUGACAAGUAGCGGUGAAAUGCAUAGAUAUGUCACAGAACACC